RNAcentral lists this ribosomal RNA (201 nucleotides) under Triticum aestivum (bread wheat). RNAcentral describes it as "partial small subunit ribosomal RNA". The record is from RNAcentral. Lineage: Eukaryota; Viridiplantae; Streptophyta; Magnoliopsida; Poales; Poaceae.
AUGGAUAUUCAACCCGGGUCACAGAAAAGAUUGGUUGAUCUUUCGGGCACUCCUGACCAGAUAAGCAGAGCUGAGCAGUUGAUAAGUGAUGUUCUUGCAGAGGCUGAUGCUGGCUCAUUUGGCACUAUCUCUAAUUGGAAGUACAAUGCACCUCAACCUAGUGCUGAGCAAUCCCGGAUGCAAAUUGCUAACAAAAGGUAA